CUAGUUUUGGGUGGUCAUUUAAAUUGUAUGUACCGGAUACAGGGGUUUUCUACCUGGACGUUAUUGUACACAAACGUGAUUGGGUCUAUUGGAACCAUUAAAUAAAUAUUCUGUGUAUUUAAUACAGACAUUACAUGUUUGUGCUAAGCUAGGCUAAACAAGUUUCCUAACGUUAAGCCUAGCUUAGCACCAAGACUAGGCAGGGGGAGAUUGGCCUCCAUCAAAAAAAGCAGGAAGCAACACCAAAAGUUUCUUUACAUGUUGAAUCUUAGUAGCUAGCAAACUACUCACCAGUGUAUUAAAGAGUCACCUGGGUUUAGGUCAGUGUUGUGAAAGUCUAAGAAGCCGACAACUUCACCAUGAGACAGGACUUUGGAUAAUUAUAGGCCUACUAGCUUGCAUAGUAAUUCAGCUAGCUUCUUCGUAUUUAAGCUUAAAUUA
This is a long non-coding RNA of Sander lucioperca (pikeperch), 441 nucleotides long. RefSeq lists it as uncharacterized. The record is from RefSeq and is a predicted model, not a curated record. NCBI's taxonomy places the organism in Eukaryota, Metazoa, Chordata, Actinopteri, Perciformes, Percidae. The transcript has 2 exons.